AUGUUAUACAGGGUUUUUAUCCCAAAAUCUUUUAUCACAACAUGGUAAAAUCAAAGUGAAAUGAGGCCUAAUGAUCCAUAACCAACUCCAGUGCAAGGAGAGAUUAACUCAUACCUCUAAACUAAUUUGUAACUUCUAUCCAGGCGUUCUGUGGUCACAUUCAAGAGGCUAUGCUUCAGGAUCUGCUUGUAAUUCAAUCCAGCAUAUUACAGCCAUAUAAAAGAGCAUAUCACAGCAAUUAUACCAGAGUCAGCUCUUUUAAAGCUAUAUCUUACUGGUUGAAGUGUGGUUGUGUCACGACUACUAAUGUGAUCCAACACGCAAAACUAUGUAACAUCUACAUAGAAUAGAAAAAUAGACAUAAG
This is a non-coding RNA of Pelobates cultripes (western spadefoot toad), 365 nucleotides long. NCBI's taxonomy places the organism in Eukaryota, Metazoa, Chordata, Amphibia, Anura, Pelobatidae. The record is from the annotation of a GenBank genome assembly.